GCAGGGGUGGGUGAGUGGUUAAUACCAGCAGACUGUAAAUCUGCCGCCUUAACGGCUACGUAGGUUCGAAUCCUACCCCCUGCACCA
This 87-nucleotide transfer RNA is filed under the name SAR202 cluster bacterium. RNAcentral describes it as "tRNA-Tyr". It matches the Rfam family "tRNA". Rfam says of the family: Transfer RNA (tRNA) molecules are approximately 80 nucleotides in length. Lineage: Bacteria; Bacillati; Chloroflexota; Dehalococcoidia. The record is from RNAcentral.